Molecule: long non-coding RNA, 674 nt
Organism: Leopardus geoffroyi (Geoffroy's cat)
Lineage: Eukaryota; Metazoa; Chordata; Mammalia; Carnivora; Felidae
Exons: 6
Source: RefSeq, a predicted model, not a curated record
UUGCCUUUAUGCUUAUCUACUCAUGAUCACAAAGUAGCAUCGCAUCCUUGUCCAAAGGAGCCUAAAGGGGUCCCAAAGCUUUCAAAGACAUCCACAGGCAGGAAGAAAGAAAAAGACAGUUUUUAUCAGAUGUCUUUUGCUCUCUCUUUUUUUAAAUCACAGAUUGAAAUAUUUUCUAGAAGCUCCUGACUUGCCCUCAGAUGUCACUGGACAGAAAAGGAUCUUAUAUAUACAUCUGAGUCCACACUGACAUUAUUUCCAUUGUGACUUGAUCAGAGAAGUUGUGAAGUUAAGCAGUCAUCUAGGAACAAAAGGAUCCAAAGUUUGCUACACACUUAAGAACAGGGCACAAGGGAAUUAAGGCCCUGGGAGCAGCUCUUUAGAAAAAGGUGAUUCUCAUUGGCUGAACUCAACAGCAAACCAAAAGGCAUGCAAGUUUAUUGAUACAAUCAAUAAAGUUCAGGUGAAGGGCACAGAGAAGGACUGGCUGCCCAGCUUGAGGGAGUGCAGUCAUCAGAUAGCCUCAAGGUGUCAGCUCCAUUAGGGUUUGUCUCAGCUGCCAAGAGCAGUCUUGCUGGAGUUACUGCUAUCAUUAUUGGAAAUUACUCAAUGAGUUCUUCCAGAAACAAAAUGGGAGUGUAGAAGACUUAAAUUCAGAUAACAAAGUGUCCACA